UUUGCUCUUCAGAACUUUUUCGAGUUGCUAAGGUACAGUGACCUCAUAGUGGGCGCUUGUAAGAAGUACGUUUGCUGUUUUUGUUAUCGAUGUGCUCAGUUAUGCUCAUAGUUUUCCUAAUAUUGAACCAGCCACAUUUCUGCAAUGAAUCCCACUUGGCGAUAGUGCAUAGGUUUUGUGAUGCAUUGCUGUAAUGGCCUUGCUAGUAUUUUAUUUAAAAUAUUUGCAUCAGUCAGUUUGCAGAUUUGUUGCUCUAGAAGAGAGCUUUGGGCCUGAUAACGUGCCCCAGAGGCAGAGGUGCCCAAUGUUCACCAUCAAGGUCCUCUGCAGGGUGAGGGACUUGGUAUAAAGUGAGAGGGCUUAGUCACAGAACCCCAAAGCCUGCAUUCAGUAUAGAACCUGAUCAUGUAGAAGCUCUGAGAGCUGGACCUUGAAUAUGAAUCUCUUUGAGAGGGUGAGAGCAGGUCAGGAUGGCUCCAGAGAGAGCCAAAGCCAGCCUGGGUAGCUAUGGGCAUGCCAGAGAGCCUUGGGUCUAGGACAUGGCUGACAGCCCUGAGUCUAUCUAAUUUCCACAGUGUCUUGGGGACGAUGAUGAGAAACGCUUAACAGAUCUGAUAUCUGAAUUGGCAUAGCUCUGAGUCCCUGAUUGAUGGCAAAGACAAGGAGAAAGCUGGGGACAAACCAAAGGGGUCUGGAUGUGACAGAGAUUACCAUGCAGUUAUACCUGAAAAUGAAUUUGUUUAAAUCUGAAGUUAUCUGUUCCCGGUCAAGAAUGCCACGUGAUGAAAUUCACCAGAGAUGUUUGCCAGCAAAUAUAUUGACCCAAUUACAGAGCAUCCAAUGGGAUCCUUCCUCAUUGCCAUGGCACACAGAGAGAGCCCCAGUAUCACUGCGUAACAGAGUGUCCCCAGGAUGUCUUUGUGACCCGAUUAAUUCUUGGCAUGCUGGCCCAGCCAUCUCAGAAAAGAGCAGUGACAAUACUCUCUUUAGCUUGAGGAAAAAAACAUGGCAGCAGAUGGUACCUUUAACAGAUGACAGCAGCAACUUGGUGAAGAAGCAAUAG
RNAcentral lists this long non-coding RNA (1063 nucleotides) under Monodelphis domestica (gray short-tailed opossum). RNAcentral's name for it is "lncRNA (ENSMODG00000034689.2)". The record is from RNAcentral. Lineage: Eukaryota; Metazoa; Chordata; Mammalia; Didelphimorphia; Didelphidae.